Molecule: transfer RNA, 76 nt
Filed under: Candidatus Peregrinibacteria bacterium CG_4_10_14_0_2_um_filter_43_11
Lineage: Bacteria; Candidatus Peregrinibacteriota
Description: tRNA-Thr
Rfam family: tRNA
About the family: Transfer RNA (tRNA) molecules are approximately 80 nucleotides in length. Their secondary structure includes four short double-helical elements and three loops (D, anti-codon, and T loops). Further hydrogen bonds mediate the characteristic L-shaped molecular structure. tRNAs have two regions of fundamental functional importance: the anti-codon, which is responsible for specific mRNA codon recognition, and the 3' end, to which the tRNAs corresponding amino acid is attached (by aminoacyl-tRNA synthetases). tRNAs cope with the degeneracy of the genetic code in two manners: having more than one tRNA (with a specific anti-codon) for a particular amino acid; and 'wobble' base-pairing, i.e. permitting non-standard base-pairing at the 3rd anti-codon position.
Source: RNAcentral
GCCACCUUAGCUCAGCUGGUAGAGCGGCCGCCUUGUAAGCGGUAGGUCGCCGGUUCGAUUCCGGCAGGUGGCUCCA